AGGGCACCACCAGGAGUGGAGCCUGCGGCUUAAUUUGACUCAACACGGGAAAACUUACCCGGCCCGGACACUGGAAGGAUUGACAGAUUGAGAGCUCUUUCUUGAUUCAGUGGGUGGUGGUGCAUGGCCGUUCUUAGUUGGUGGAGCGAUUUGUCUGGUUAAUUCCGAUAACGAACGAGACUCUAGCCUACUAAAUAGACUGUUCAGCUUUAUAGCCGGAAUCACCGGGCAUGUAGCUCUCACGGGUUGCGUGUUCGGCUCUGGUGACGUUGGCAGUGCUUCUUAGAGGGACAGGCGGCGGUUCAGCCGCACGAAACAGAGCAAUAACAGGUCUGUGAUGCCCUUAGAUGUCCGGGGCUGCACGCGCGCUACACUGAAGUGAUCAGCGUGCAAUUUACGUUUGGUGAUCUGUCAAGAUUGCCCAACCCGUUGAACCUUCUUCGUGAUUGGGAUAGGGGAUUGUAAUUAUUCCCCUUGAACGAGGAAUUCCCAGUAAGCGCAAGUCAUAAGCUUGCGUUG
Molecule: ribosomal RNA, 519 nt
Filed under: uncultured eukaryote
Lineage: Eukaryota
Description: bacterial SSU rRNA
Rfam family: Eukaryotic small subunit ribosomal RNA
Source: RNAcentral